GUCCGUCGUCGUCCGUCGUUAGCUUUUACAAAAAUCUUCUCCUCUGAAACUACUGGGCCAAAUUAAAGCAAACUUGGCCACAAUCAUCAUUGGGUAUCUAGUUUAAAAAAUGUGUGGCGUGACCCGGCCAACCAACCAAGAUGGCCGCCAUGGCUAAAAAUAGAACAUAGGGGUAAAAUGUAGAUUUUGGCUUAUAACUCUGAAACCAAAGCAUUUAGAGCAAAUCUGACAUGGGGUAUAAUUGUUUAUCAGGUGAAGAUCUAUCUCUGAAAUUUUCAGACGAAUCGGUCAACCGGUUGUUGGGUUGCAUCCCCUGAAUUGGCAAUUUUAAGGAAAUUAUACUGUUUUUUGGCUAUUAUCUUGAAUAUUAGAGAUACACUGUAAACAGC
RNAcentral lists this long non-coding RNA (389 nucleotides) under Mytilus galloprovincialis (Mediterranean mussel). The record is from RNAcentral. Lineage: Eukaryota; Metazoa; Mollusca; Bivalvia; Mytilida; Mytilidae.